UUCUUUGCAAGGUUGUGCUGUUUCUUUGACAAACCGUUCUGCCUGUUUUCCAAUCAAAGCUUCUUCUUUCUCUACAUUAUGUGUUUCAGAUUCAUCAAUUCUUUCAGUGGCAGCUUCUGUCUCUUCCCUGUUUUGUUUUUUGGGUUCUUCAAUUGGUGGUUCUUUAGGUUUCUCUUCAAUUAUUGGUUCUUCAAGUUUCUCUUUACCUGCUAGUUCUUCAGGUAUCUCAUUAACUGUUGGUUCUUCAAAGUUCUCAACUGCUGAUUCCUCAGGUUUCUCCUCAACUGAUGGUUCUUCAUGUUUUUCAUCAACUGUAGCUUCUUCAGGUUUCACCUCAACUGUUGGUUCCUCAAGUUUUUGGUCAACUACUUGUUCUUCAGUUGCUAGUUCUUCAGGUUUCUUUUCAACUGCUAGCUCUUCACGUGUCUCUUUAACCACUGGUUCUUCAGGUGUUUCUUUCACCUCUGGUUCUUGAGAUUGCUCCUCAAUCACUGAUUCUUGGGGUUUCUCUUCACUUUUUGGUUUGGGUGUUACUUCAACUGCUGGUUCUUCAGGUUUUCCUUCAACUGCUAGUUCUUCAGGUUUUUCAUCAAUUGUUGGUUCUUCAAGUUUCUCUUGAACUGUUGGUUCUUUUGGUUUCUCUUGAACUUCUGGUUCUUGAGGUUUCUCUUCAAUCAUUGGUUGUUCAGGUGUUUCUUUCGCCACAGGUUCUUCUAGUGUCCCUUCAAUCACUGGUUCGUCGGAUUUCUCCUCAACCGCUGGUUCUUUGGGUUUCUCCUCAACUUUUGAUUCUUCAAGUUUCUCCCUAACAACUGGUUCUUCUGGUUUCUGUUCAACUGUCGGUUCCACUGGUUUCUCUUCAACUGCUGAAUCUUCAGGCGUUUCCUCAACUUCAAUGGUAUUGCAUGAAAUUUCUUGAGGUUUCUCGUCAACUAGUUGUUCAGGUGUCCCUUCAACUGCUGGUUUGUCAGGUUUCUCUGGUUCUUCGAGUUUCUCCUCAAUUUUUGGUUCUUCGGGUUUCUCCUCGAUGUCAAAUUCUUCCCGUUUCUCUUCAACUGUCGAUUCCUUGAGUUUCUCUUCAACUGCUGAAUCUUCGGGUUUUUCCUCAAUUUCAGCAAAAUCAUUGUUGGUAUUGCAUGAAAUUUCAUUGCCAGUCUUAUCAUUUGAGUCCACAACAUGCUUAUUCUGCUAGAAGAAAGUUUCACUUAAUUUUUCAAUAGAUAAGCAGAUGUGAAUUCAUUGCACAUACAUAACUAUUAGGAUGGACAACUUUGUGACAGUGUUUGAUCCUCACCUUUUCGAGGGGCGUUACCUUUUCAGCUGCUGCUUUCUCUAGUUUCUCUUCAACAACUACUUCUUCAUGUUUCUCUUCAGCUACUUGUUUGUCAGGUGUUUCUUCCCGUGCUGGUUUAUCAACUGUUUCUUCCCCUGCAACUGGUUCGUCAAGCUUCUCUUCAACUACUAAUUUUUCAGGUGUUUCCUCAACCAUUAGUUCUUCGAAUUUCUCCGAUACAACUGGUUCUUUAGGUUUCUCUUUCAGUGCAGGUUCCUCAUAUUUUUUUUCUAUUACUGUUUCUUCAUGUUUUUCCUCAACAGCUGGAUAGUCAGAAACAUCACUGUUGUCGUUGCACAGAAUUUCACCAUUAAUCUUGUCUGUUGAGUGACUUGAGUCCGUAUCUGGCAUAUUCUACAAGAAGAAUUUAAAGAU
Molecule: long non-coding RNA, 1708 nt
Filed under: Solanum tuberosum (potato)
Lineage: Eukaryota; Viridiplantae; Streptophyta; Magnoliopsida; Solanales; Solanaceae
Description: long non-coding RNA (STUB_LNC003301)
Source: RNAcentral